RNAcentral lists this unclassified non-coding RNA (261 nucleotides) under fungal sp. RNAcentral's name for it is "partial internal transcribed spacer region". The stretch from base 1 to 46 matches the Rfam family "Eukaryotic small subunit ribosomal RNA", at positions 1786 to 1831 of the family's 1831-position model. Lineage: Eukaryota; Fungi. The record is from RNAcentral.
AAGUCGUAACAAGGUUUCCGUAGGUGAACCUGCGGAAGGAUCAUUUCCAAAUUUACCUCAUUUUUUUGUGUUGAACGUUUUGUGACGAAUUGUUGUUUUGCAUAAAAAUGACAAUUCGUGACGAACAAGAUGCACAAAAAAAUACAAAACAAACAAACACCAAUUUUAUUCUAAAAGACUCAAGUCUAACAUACUUUGCAUUUUUUUUACACAAAAAAUGAUAACAAAAUACAACUUUUAUCAACGGAUCUCUUGGCUCUC